This 313-nucleotide long non-coding RNA is filed under the name Elaeis guineensis (African oil palm). RNAcentral's name for it is "long non-coding RNA (EGUI_LNC044794)". The record is from RNAcentral. Lineage: Eukaryota; Viridiplantae; Streptophyta; Magnoliopsida; Arecales; Arecaceae.
GCAACCCAAUCAAAGGAGGGAGGAGAUGUGCUGGUAUGACACCUCACACUAGCAAGUGGGAUGCCUAAAGAGGGCCCACACUAAGGGAGGAGGGGCGACACCAAAGGGAAGAUGCUAAGGAGAAGAAGAAGGGCUCCUCUCUUCUCACACCUCUCUCUUCUUCUCUCUUCUCUCAAUCUGAUUUGUUUGCUAUGCAUCUAUAGAUAGAGAUCCUCUUUAUUUAUAGAUGAAUCUCAUGACCCAAUAAAUAUAGGCCUCCUAACUCAAACAUACUUUGAAACAAUCCAAUACUCAUGAAAGAAAGACUCCCACA